AUAGCUAAUACCGCAUAACAAUGCUUAACACAUGUUAAGCAUUUGAAAGUACCAAUUGGUACACUAGGAGAUGGACCCGCGUUGUAUUAGCUAGUUUGUAGUGUAAUGGACUACCAAGGCGAUGAUACAUAGCCGACCUGAGAGGGUGAUCGGCCACAUUGGGACUGAGACACGGCCCAAUCUCCUACGGGAGGCAGCAGUAGGGAAUCUUCGGCAAUGGACGAAAGUCUGACCGAGCAACGCCGCGUGAGUGAAGAAGGUUUUCGGAUCGUAAAACUCUGUUGUUAGAUAAUAACGUUGUGUAGAGUGGAAAAUUACACAAGUGACGGUAUCUAACCAGAAAGGGACGGCUAACUACGUGCCAGCAGCCGUGGUAAUACGUAGGUCCCGAGCGUUGUCCGGAUUUAUUGGGCGUAAAGCGAGCGCAGGUGGUUUAAUAAGUCUGAUGUAAAAGGCAGUGGCUCAACCAUUGUGUGCAUUGGAAACUGUUAGACUUGAGUGCAGUAGAGGAGAGUGGAAUUCCAUGUGUAGCGGUGAAAUGCGUAGAUAUAUGGAGGAACACCGGUGGCGAAAGCGGCUCCCUGGACUGUAACUGACACUGAGGCUCGAAAGCGUGGGUAGCAAACAGGAUU
Molecule: ribosomal RNA, 632 nt
Filed under: uncultured bacterium
Lineage: Bacteria
Description: bacterial SSU rRNA
Rfam family: Bacterial small subunit ribosomal RNA
Source: RNAcentral